RNAcentral lists this ribosomal RNA (494 nucleotides) under uncultured bacterium. RNAcentral's name for it is "partial 16S ribosomal RNA". It matches the Rfam family "Bacterial small subunit ribosomal RNA", at positions 28 to 507 of the family's 1533-position model. The record is from RNAcentral.
GACGAACGCUGGCGGCGUGCUUAACACAUGCAAGUCGAACGGUGAAGCGCCUUCCUUUUUGGCGGGUGUGGAUGAGCGGCGAAGGGGUGAGUAACACGUGAGUAACCUGCCCCCUUCUUCUGGAUAACCGCAUGAAAGGGUGGCUAAUACGGGCUACUCUGGGUCUGUUGCAUGCUGGGUCUGGGGAAGAUCUUGUUUCGGUGGGGGCUGGGCUCGGGGGCUAGCUGCUUGUUGGUGGGGUGAGGGCGUCCCACGGCGGUGACGGGUAGCCGGCCGCGGAGGGUGGACGGCCAGAGUGGGAGUGAGGCACGGCCGAGACUGCUAAGGGGGGCAGCAGUGGGGAGGAGUGAACAGUGGGGACAAGCCUGAUGCAGCGACGCCGCGUGAGGGAUGGAGGCGUGCGGGUUGUGAACCUCUUUCGCCAGUGAAGCAGGCCUGCCUCGUUUGUAGGGGGGGUGACGGUAGCUGGAGAAGAAGCACCGGCUAACUACGUG